UAGAGUUCUUUUACACUUGUGCUACCAUCAAAGAAAGGUCGAAUGUGCCAAGAGUUAAGUGGCCUGAAAAUAAAGUUCAAUUUAUUAAAAGAAAAUAGAAGAUACUCCUCUACUAUUACGACAGUGCAGCAAAUUGUGCUAAUUUUCGGAGAAUUGUCGAAUCAGGACCCGGAAUUAUACCUUAGAUACAGAUCGGAAGUAAGCGGUUACCAGCAGCCGACUUGGUGGCAAAUACUCCCUCGGUCCGGUUUCACGGGACGGGUUAAGCUGAUUAGGCCACGAGAGCCUUAUUCCGCCCAGGAAACGCACCGGAGAUGGGACAGCGUAAACCCCUAGCCCAUUAGAGCGGGAAUAAACCGUUCCCCAAGUACCCAGCCACAGCAGCAGAGUCCGAUCAACGGCAGCAGAGGCAGCGGCAGCGUUAACCGCUGCGUGAACGAGCCAAGCAGCCUAAAAGUCCAGCAGCAACGAGCAUCGUCAGCACCCGAAGCAACAGAAGCAGCAGUGAAAGCCCGGCCGGCACAGUAAGACUUGCGAUCGUCCCUUCGAUGUCAGAGCCGACCCUGAGAGCGAGAAAGCAGCUCACGGCCGUGCUAGCCGUUUAAAAGAGGCUAGUGUUGCCCACCCUCACUAGAUCGCCGAUGGUGUUGCCCAGCGAUCGAGGUUUAGUUUUGGUAGGUCCUCCACCGGCCAAGUAAUGAAUGGCGCCCAACUAAAAUACAUAAGCUGAUCAAGGUUUUGGAUAGUCGACAGGAUCUGGAGUGUAUGAGAGGUUAGGAAAGUCUCAGGGAAAUUAGGAGUAGUGCCAAAAGGGUAACAUGAAAAUUAUUUCCCCCAAUCCAAAAUUGAUUUACAUUGCACAAGCUUACUAGUGCGCGUACGCAUGCAAAAGCGAACAAAAAGUGUAGUUAUUUCAUCUAAUAGCGGGAGUAGCGAUUUUUCAAAUAAUUUUGUAUCAAUUAGUGGGUCUUGAUUCGAUCAAUAUAUUCAAACAAUUUCGUUGUUUCAAACAAAGCGAAUUCAUUUCGGUUUUGGUUUCUCAUUAUUUAUUACCUACCAUAAACAUUUAGAGAAGUAGUUGAGUCGGUUAAAGUGUGUCUCAGUAAUUAUAGAAUAUACGAUGGAUUUACAACAGCUCUACAGAAACUUGGAUGUGUCUCAUCUCUCAAUUAACGAAGUUGAGCAUGAAUUAGCGGUUCGAAGUGUUCCAUUUGAUUCCAAAGAACACGAAAGUGUUAAAAGAAGGAAGUUAAAAGAUAAGAUGCGAAUUGAAAGGGAGACUGAGGUUUUUUCUUUUGCCCCAAGCCGAAUGAAAUUAGUUGAAGAAAUUUCAAUGAUUAGUACGACAUUGACGAUUAUUGCCGAUCUACUGGAUAAUCCAAAAUGUGAUAUCCGGCAACGGUUAAAAUUGAAAACACGAGUGAUUCACUAUAGAGUACGUAUAUUUCUGCUUAUGAAAUCUCCGGGAGCAAAUAAAUAUCAGUUAGAGGUGGUAAACAUUGGCAAACGAGCCAAUGAAAUUUUUCAGAAACAUUUUGUUGCGGGAAAACCCGAAUGCAAUACACCCGCACCGAAACCUUUAGAAGAUGAUAUAUCCGUAGCUUUAGAGGACGUUCGAUCUGAAAUUGAAAUUUUGAAUGAAACUGCAACAGGAAAGGAUUUGGAAAAUGAGAUGAUAGAAGAUGAAGCAAGUGGAGGAAUUGGAAAUAAAUCAUCAGAAUCAAAGAAAAAAGAAAUGGUAUUAGCGAUUGAAAGGUCAGAAGACGUGAUGAAGGUAUUGAAA
Long non-coding RNA from Wyeomyia smithii (pitcher-plant mosquito), 1783 nucleotides. RefSeq lists it as uncharacterized. The record is from RefSeq and is a predicted model, not a curated record. Lineage: Eukaryota; Metazoa; Arthropoda; Insecta; Diptera; Culicidae. The transcript has 3 exons.